This 677-nucleotide ribosomal RNA is filed under the name Triticum aestivum (bread wheat). Its description in RNAcentral is "partial small subunit ribosomal RNA". The record is from RNAcentral. Lineage: Eukaryota; Viridiplantae; Streptophyta; Magnoliopsida; Poales; Poaceae.
AUGCACACGGCCCCCGAGUACAAGUGGAGCUCGCCGGUUUCGUCGCCGUCCUCGCAGGAGCAGGGGAUGCCGACGUCGCCCACGUCGCCGACGCCGAAGCGCCCCGCGGGGCGCACCAAGAUCAAGGAGACACGCCACCCGGUGUACCACGGCGUGCGCCGCCGGGGCUGCAACGGCCGGUGGGUGUGCGAGAUGCGGGUGCCCGGCAAGCGCGGCGAGCGGCUCUGGCUCGGCACGCACGCCACCGCCAAGGCGGCCGCCCGCGCGCACGACGCAGCCAUGCUCGCGUUGCACGGCCGCUCCGCCGCGCGCCUCAACUUCCCUGACUCCGCGUGUCUGCUCGCCGUGCCCUCUUCUCCCUCCAGCCUGGCCGACGUCAGGCGCGCCGCCAUCGGGGCCGUCGUGGACUUCCUGCGCCGGCAGGGGUCGCCUCCGUAGCGCCCCCGCCGGGCAAUGCCAGGUCGUCGGCGACGUCGUCCCAGCAGCCUUGUGCCAAUGCUGAGUCCGAGGUGCCUGACGCAUUGCGCGGCGGCCUGCCGGAGCUCCACACGUCCGGGGAAAUGGACGUGAGCACGUACUACGCGGACCUUGCGCAGGGGCUGCUCCUGGAGCCGCCGCCACUGGCGGCCAGUGACUGCAACGACGGCGGAGAUGAUGCGGCGCUAUGGAGCCACUGA